UGCAUCUCUCUUUAAGGUCUCUUAGUCUGGACACUCCAGUAAUGAGGUUUUUACCGACAUCCAGAAAGGAAGAAACCAUCAAGUAUUGCUGCGAAGGCAGAGCAAAUGGACAUGGGACAAGUUAGGAAAGAUGCGAGACACUGGAGUUUUAUCUAGAAGCCAGAAGUUCAUCACAACGUGAGCUUCAUCUGAAGACUGUUUUUCUGUCCUCAUAAAAUCUACAACUCUACACACCGCAUGCCAGAGGAGCCUCAAGUGACUUACACAGUCACUGCUUAAUAGAAAGAAACUGGGCCACAUUUCAGACAGACUAAGGCUGCUGACUGGCUAAUUUGGGCAAAGGGCUAGCUGUGGCCCAGCCACCCACCCAGGCUCGCAUCCCAGCCCUCAUUCCAAUUUUAAGAAUGAAAGGGACAAAUGGGAAUCAGAAAGAUGUCACUGGGCUGACACCUCUUUGCAAAUAUGAAUAUCAGUAGGGUCACUUCUCUCACUGUUAGUCCAGCUAACAGACAGUAAAUUCUCAAAGCUUAUCUAU
This 535-nucleotide long non-coding RNA is filed under the name Bos taurus (domestic cattle). Its description in RNAcentral is "long non-coding RNA NONBTAT013911". The record is from RNAcentral. Lineage: Eukaryota; Metazoa; Chordata; Mammalia; Artiodactyla; Bovidae.